This 253-nucleotide ribosomal RNA is filed under the name uncultured bacterium. RNAcentral's name for it is "partial 16S ribosomal RNA". It matches the Rfam family "Bacterial small subunit ribosomal RNA", at positions 524 to 776 of the family's 1533-position model. The record is from RNAcentral.
UACGAAGGGGGCUAGCGUUGCUCGGAAUCACUGGGCGUAAAGCGCACGUAGGCGGCUUCUUAAGUCAGGGGUGAAAUCCUGGAGCUCAACUCCAGAACUGCCUUUGAUACUGAGGAGCUCGAGUCCGGGAGAGGUGAGUGGAACUCCGAGUGUAGAGGUGAAAUUCGUAGAUAUUCGGAAGAACACCAGUGGCGAAGGCGGCUCACUGGCCCGGUACUGACGCUGAGGUGCUAAAGCGUGGGGAGCAAACAGG